RNAcentral lists this long non-coding RNA (311 nucleotides) under Homo sapiens (human). Its description in RNAcentral is "HSALNT0151388". Lineage: Eukaryota; Metazoa; Chordata; Mammalia; Primates; Hominidae. The record is from RNAcentral.
AGGAUGAAGGAGAAGGGGUUGAGGGGUACUUGCCCCUGCCCCAGGAAAGCGGGACUUGCCGCUGAGGGUGAAGGAGAAGGGGUUGAGGGGUACUUGCCCCUGCCCCAGGAAAGCGGGACUUGCCGCUGAGGGUGAAGGAGAAGGGGUUGAGGGGUACUUGCCCCUGCCCCAGGAAAGCGGGACUUGCCACUGAGGGUGAAGGAGAAGGGGUUGAGGGGUACUUGCCCCUGCCCCAGGAAAGCAGGACUUGCCGCUGAGGGUGAAGGAGAAGGGGUUGAGGGAUAGUGAGGAAGGUUGGAGAAGAGAGUAAA